UCUAACUUAAUGUUAAUAAUACUCUCUCUCCUCGAGUCGUAUCUCUUCAGCUUCAACUAGAGCCAUCACCUCCGUUUGGAUCGCCGACGAAGAAGGGACUUUGACAGCGAAACCAUCCAGCAGCGAUCCCGUUUCGUCUCGAAGAACACCCGAGAUCACCCCUUCGGUCGCCUCUUCACAGAAAGCUCCGUCGACGUUGAUCUUGAAGGUUCAUGGCUUCGGUGAGACCCAUACCUCAGUUGAUUGAGCUUUUUCAGUAUAAAGAUUCGAUCUUUGUGAGUUGCACUUGCUAAAAUUUCCGUGUAAUACCUUAGCUGCAUCAAUUAGGGACUUCGGAUCUGGUGGUUUCCUUCUGAAGACAAAUUAAUUUCUUGCUUUCCACAAAAACCACUGCAGGGACGCAAUAUCUUCAAAGGAUCUUUCCAAACAGCUUCUGUCCAAGCGCAGAGUAAAAAUAGGUGCUCAAUUGUCUCUGUUUCUUGCUUACAGAAAAGGCAAGCUGGCGAUGCUAAGAUUCUCCUCUUGUAAAGAUUCUCCAUAGUGGGAAUUGCAUUUUGACAUAAACUCCAGAUAAAGGUUUUUAUUUUGGGGGGCAUUUUCAUA
Rhodamnia argentea is the source of this 603-nucleotide long non-coding RNA. RefSeq lists it as uncharacterized. Lineage: Eukaryota; Viridiplantae; Streptophyta; Magnoliopsida; Myrtales; Myrtaceae. The record is from RefSeq and is a predicted model, not a curated record. The transcript has 2 exons.